This 429-nucleotide ribosomal RNA is filed under the name uncultured bacterium. RNAcentral describes it as "bacterial SSU rRNA". It matches the Rfam family "Bacterial small subunit ribosomal RNA", at positions 355 to 776 of the family's 1533-position model. The record is from RNAcentral.
UGGGGAAUAUUGCGCAAUGGGCGAAAGCCUGACGCAGCGACGCCGCGUGGAGGAUGAAGGUCUUCGGAUUGUAAACUUCUGUUAAGUGGGAAGAAAUGCUUGUCCUUAAUACGGGCAAGAGAUGACUGUACCAUUAGAGAAAGCACCGGCUAAACUCGUGCCAGCAGCCGCGGUAAUACGAGUGGUGCAAGCGUUAUUCGGAAUCAUUGGGCGUAAAGGGUGUGUAGACGGCAGAUUAAGUCAACUGUUUAAUUCUCCGGCCUAACCGGAGGCCAGCGGUAGAAACUGAUCUGCUAGAGGGUGGAAGAGAGAAGUGGAAUUCUCGGAGUAGCGGUAAAAUGCGUAGAUCUCGAGAGGAACACCAAUGGCGAAGGCAGCUUCUUGGUCCACACCUGACGUUGAGACACGAAAGCGUGGGGAGCAAACAGG